UCACACAUAGUUUUUAUUCAAAAUAAAGGGGCAAAUUUUAUUUCACAUCUUAUAAGAGCAUUUUAAACGUAAAAGGAAAAAUAAAUAUAAUAAGAAAAGAAAAUUUCACAUGACAAACAAUUGCUCUUACAAUUUUAGUAGACUAAAUUUUUCCAUGUGUGUUCACUUGUAGUAGUAUGUAACUUUUUUAUUAUUGACUAUUUCACGAGAUUAAGGUAGAGGAUUUUCGAUAUAUAAUAAUUUCAAAGGUUUAUAGUUUAGUACAUCAGGUGGAGAAUUGUAGGUAUUUAAUAAUUUAAAAGGUUUAUGUGAUGUUUUAGGUAGAUGAUUGUUGGUAUUUAACGAUUUAAAAAGGUAUAUGUGCUGCUUCAGGUGGAGGAUUGUUGAUACUCAAGGAUUUAAAAGGUAUAUGUGCUGCCUCAGGCGGAGGGUUGUUGAUACUCAACGAUUUAAAAGGUGUAUGUGCUGCUUCAGGCGGAGGGUUGUUGAUAUUCAACGAUUUAAAAGGUGUAUAUGCUACUGUAGGUGGAGCACGAUUGAUAUACAAUGAUUUAAAAGGUUUAUGAUCUCGUCUCCAAAGGAUUUUAGAGAGUAAUUUUUCAUCAUAAGGUUGGUAUUUUGGUAAUAGGUUGUUGUGUAGUGCAUUUUCAAGAGUAUGUUUUGGUAUUUGUUGUUCUAUAGCCAAUACCAGAGUGAUGUGCAUUGACAUUCCAAGAACGAGUAACACUAAUGAGUAUAUAGAGGACAUAUUUUAGAUUUUGAAUG
Molecule: long non-coding RNA, 765 nt
Filed under: Cicer arietinum (chickpea)
Lineage: Eukaryota; Viridiplantae; Streptophyta; Magnoliopsida; Fabales; Fabaceae
Description: long non-coding RNA (CARI_LNC000941)
Source: RNAcentral